This 480-nucleotide ribosomal RNA is filed under the name uncultured bacterium. Its description in RNAcentral is "bacterial SSU rRNA". It matches the Rfam family "Bacterial small subunit ribosomal RNA", at positions 501 to 981 of the family's 1533-position model. The record is from RNAcentral.
CUACGUGCCAGCAGCCGCGGUAAUACGGAAGGUCCAGGCGUUAUCCGGAUUUAUUGGGUUUAAAGGGAGCGUAGGCCGUGGAUUAAGCGUGUUGUGAAAUGUAGACGCUCAACGUCUGAAUUGCAGCGCGAACUGGUUCACUUGAGUAUGCACAACGUAGGCGGAAUUCGUCGUGUAGCGGUGAAAUGCUUAGAUAUGACGAAGAACUCCGAUUGCGAAGGCAGCUUACGGGAGCACAACUGACGCUGAAGCUCGAAGGUGCGGGUAUCAAACAGGAUUAGAUACCCUGGUAGUCCGCACAGUAAACGAUGGAUGCCCGUUGUUAGUUCACCUAAGAAUUAGCGACCAAGCGAAAGCAUUAAGCAUCCCACCUGGGGAGUACGCCGGCAACGGUGAAACUCAAAGGAAUUGACGGGGGCCCGCACAAGCGGAGGAACAUGUGGUUUAAUUCGAUGAUACGCGAGGAACCUUACCCGGGCU